CUACAUGAAGCUGGAGUUACUAGUAAUCGCAGAUCAGAAUGCUGCGGUGAAUGCGUUCCCGGGUCGUGUACACACCGCCCGUCACACCACGGGAGUUGGAGACGCCCGAAGCCGAUUAUCUAACCUUUUGGAAGAAGUCGUCGAAGGUGGAAUUAAUAACUGGGGUGAAGUCGUAACAAGGUAGCCGUAUCGGAAGGUGCGGCUGGAUCACCUCCUUUCUAAGGAGA
This 227-nucleotide ribosomal RNA is filed under the name Clostridioides difficile. RNAcentral describes it as "partial 16S ribosomal RNA". It matches the Rfam family "Bacterial small subunit ribosomal RNA", at positions 1316 to 1533 of the family's 1533-position model. Lineage: Bacteria; Bacillati; Bacillota; Clostridia; Peptostreptococcales; Peptostreptococcaceae. The record is from RNAcentral.